This 231-nucleotide long non-coding RNA is filed under the name Elaeis guineensis (African oil palm). RNAcentral describes it as "long non-coding RNA (EGUI_LNC026484)". Lineage: Eukaryota; Viridiplantae; Streptophyta; Magnoliopsida; Arecales; Arecaceae. The record is from RNAcentral.
AGACAGCAAUCCAAGGAAACUUCUAUCAAUUUUUCUCAACACAUUCCCAAGACAACGGGUUGCAUCAACUUAGAAUUAGAUUUGACAGUCGAGUCAAGAAGAUUAUGCUUCCCCUAUCUAUCUUGGAGGCGAGAGGCACGGUGGGAUUCCCUUUCAGAGACUCCAUGAUUACAGCUCAUGGUGAUAGUUUCGGUAUUUUUUUUUAUUCACACUUUCUAAAGUGAUGGACAG